This 265-nucleotide ribosomal RNA is filed under the name uncultured prokaryote. Its description in RNAcentral is "partial 16S ribosomal RNA". It matches the Rfam family "Bacterial small subunit ribosomal RNA", at positions 524 to 788 of the family's 1533-position model. The record is from RNAcentral.
UACGGAGGGUGCUAGCGUUGUUCGGAAUUACUGGGCGUAAAGCGCACGUAGGCGGAUCAGCCAGUCAGGGGUGAAAUCCCGGGGCUCAACCCCGGAACUGCCCUUGAUACUGCUGGUCUGGAGUUCGAGAGAGGCGAGUGGAAUUCCGAGUGUAGAGGUGAAAUUCGUAGAUAUUCGGAGGAACACCAGUGGCGAAGGUGGCUCGCUGGCUCGACACUGACGCUGAGGUGCGAAAGCGUGGGGAGCAAACAGGAUUAGAUACCCU